RNAcentral lists this ribosomal RNA (253 nucleotides) under uncultured bacterium. Its description in RNAcentral is "partial 16S ribosomal RNA". It matches the Rfam family "Bacterial small subunit ribosomal RNA", at positions 524 to 776 of the family's 1533-position model. The record is from RNAcentral.
UACGUAGGUGGCAAGCGUUGUCCGGAUUUAUUGGGUUUAAAGGGCGCGUAGGUGGUCUAUUCAGUCCGGUCUGAAAUAUCCCGGCUUAACCGGGAGGGUGGCAUUGAUACUGAUGGACUUGAGUAGAGUCGAGGUAGGCGGAAUUGACGGUGUAGCGGUGAAAUGCUUAGAUAUCGUCAAGAACACCUAUUGCGAAGGCAGCUUACUAGGCUGAAACUGACACUGAUGCACGAAAGUGUGGGGAUCAAACAGG